Molecule: ribosomal RNA, 1401 nt
Filed under: Lactiplantibacillus plantarum
Lineage: Bacteria; Bacillati; Bacillota; Bacilli; Lactobacillales; Lactobacillaceae
Description: bacterial SSU rRNA
Rfam family: Bacterial small subunit ribosomal RNA
Source: RNAcentral
UGAUUGGUGCUUGCAUCAUGAUUUACAUUUGAGUGAGUGGCGAACUGGUGAGUAACACGUGGGAAACCUGCCCAGAAGCGGGGGAUAACACCUGGAAACAGAUGCUAAUACCGCAUAACAACUUGGACCGCAUGGUCCGAGUUUGAAAGAUGGCUUCGGCUAUCACUUUUGGAUGGUCCCGCGGCGUAUUAGCUAGAUGGUGGGGUAACGGCUCACCAUGGCAAUGAUACGUAGCCGACCUGAGAGGGUAAUCGGCCACAUUGGGACUGAGACACGGCCCAAACUCCUACGGGAGGCAGCAGUAGGGAAUCUUCCACAAUGGACGAAAGUCUGAUGGAGCAACGCCGCGUGAGUGAAGAAGGGUUUCGGCUCGUAAAACUCUGUUGUUAAAGAAGAACAUAUCUGAGAGUAACUGUUCAGGUAUUGACGGUAUUUAACCAGAAAGCCACGGCUAACUACGUGCCAGCAGCCGCGGUAAUACGUAGGUGGCAAGCGUUGUCCGGAUUUAUUGGGCGUAAAGCGAGCGCAGGCGGUUUUUUAAGUCUGAUGUGAAAGCCUUCGGCUCAACCGAAGAAGUGCAUCGGAAACUGGGAAACUUGAGUGCAGAAGAGGACAGUGGAACUCCAUGUGUAGCGGUGAAAUGCGUAGAUAUAUGGAAGAACACCAGUGGCGAAGGCGGCUGUCUGGUCUGUAACUGACGCUGAGGCUCGAAAGUAUGGGUAGCAAACAGGAUUAGAUACCCUGGUAGUCCAAUCCCGUAAACGAUGAAUGCUAAGUGUUGGAGGGUUUCCGCCCUUCAGUGCUGCAGCUAACGCCAUUAAGCAUUCCGCCUGGGGAGUACGGCCGCAAGGCUGAAACUCAAAAGGAAUUGACGGGGGCCCGCACAAGCGGUGGAGCAUGUGGUUUAAUUCGAAGCUACGCGAAGAACCUUACCAGGUCUUGACAUACUAUGCAAAUCUAAGAGAUUAGACGUUCCCUUCGGGGACAUGGAUACAGGUGGUGCAUGGUUGUCGUCAGCUCGUGUCGUGAGAUGUUGGGUUAAGUCCCGCAACGAGCGCAACCCUUAUUAUCAGUUGCCAGCAUUAAGUUGGGCACUCUGGUGAGACUGCCGGUGACAAACCGGAGGAAGGUGGGGAUGACGUCAAAUCAUCAUGCCCCUUAUGACCUGGGCUACACACGUGCUACAAUGGAUGGUACAACGAGUUGCGAACUCGCGAGAGUAAGCUAAUCUCUUAAAGCCAUUCUCAGUUCGGAUUGUAGGCUGCAACUCGCCUACAUGAAGUCGGAAUCGCUAGUAAUCGCGGAUCAGCAUGCCGCGGUGAAUACGUUCCCGGGCCUUGUACACACCGCCCGUCACACCAUGAGAGUUUGUAACACCCAAAGUCGGUGGGGUAACCUUUU